This 282-nucleotide ribosomal RNA is filed under the name uncultured prokaryote. RNAcentral describes it as "partial 16S ribosomal RNA". It matches the Rfam family "Bacterial small subunit ribosomal RNA", at positions 524 to 803 of the family's 1533-position model. The record is from RNAcentral.
GACGAACCGUCCAAACGUUAUUCGGAAUUACUGGGCUUAAAGGGUGCGUAGGCGGCUUCGCAAGUUGGGUGUGAAAUCCCUCGGCUCAACCGAGGAAUGGCGCCCAAAACUGCGGAGCUCGAGGGAGACAGAGGUGAGUGGAACUUGUGGUGGAGCGGUGAAAUGCGUUGAUAUCACAAGGAACACCGGUGGCGAAAGCGGCUCACUGGGUCUCUUCUGACGCUGAGGCACGAAAGCUGGGGGAGCGAACGGGAUUAGAUACCCGGGUAGUCCCUGAGCGGG